AGAGUUUGAUCCUGGCUCAGGAUAAACGCUGGCGGCGUGCCUAACACAUGCAAGUCGAACGUCCUUGCGCAAGCAAGGGAGUGGCGGACGGGUGAGGAACACGUGGGGCAUCUACCUUCGGGUGAGGAAUACCGGCGAGAAAUCGCCGACAAGACCGCAUACGCUCUUUCGCAAGAGAGAGGAAAGCUUCUUUCGUAAGAGGGAGGCGCCAGAAGAGGACCCUGCGUCCGAUUAGUUGGUUGGUGGGGUAAUGGCCUACCAAGACGACGAUCGGUAGCUGGUCUGAGAGGACGAUCAGCCACACUGGGAUUGAGAACGGCCCAGACUCCUACGGGGGGCAGCAGUGAGGAAUUUUCGUCAAUGGGGGCAACCCUGAACGAGCAACGCCGCGUGCAGGAAGACGCUUUUCGGAGUGUAAACUGCCUUUCUCGGGGAAGAGAACGGACGGUACCCGAGGAAGAAGCCUCGGCUAACUACGUGCCAGCAGCCGCGGUAAUACGUAGGAGGCGAGCGUUGUCCGGAGUUACUGGGCGUAAAGCGCACGCAGGCGGUGCACCAAGUCUGGAGUGACAGCGCUCGGCUUAACCGAGCAGGGUCUUUGGAAACUGGUGGACUUGAGGGCUUCAGAGGAAUGCGGAACUCCGGGUGGAGUGGUGAAAUGCGUAGAUAUCCGGAAGAACACCAAAGGCGAAGGCAGCAUUCUGGGAAGUACCUGACGCUCAGGUGCGAAAGCCAGGGGAGCGAACGGGAUUAGAUACCCCGGUAGUCC
This 769-nucleotide ribosomal RNA is filed under the name uncultured bacterium. RNAcentral describes it as "bacterial SSU rRNA". It matches the Rfam family "Bacterial small subunit ribosomal RNA", at positions 8 to 796 of the family's 1533-position model. The record is from RNAcentral.